Molecule: long non-coding RNA, 244 nt
Organism: Sceloporus undulatus (fence lizard)
Lineage: Eukaryota; Metazoa; Chordata; Lepidosauria; Squamata; Phrynosomatidae
Exons: 3
Source: RefSeq, a predicted model, not a curated record
ACUAUGGUUUUUUUUCUGUUCCAGUAAGAAUUCAAAUUCUUUAGAAUGUCUCUGUUUCACAAAAUCUCUGACAGUGCUCUGGUUGACUUGACUUCAGAAUUCUUUGAAGGAGUGGCCCAGAAUUCUUCAGAGAAUGUUUUGCAAAACCAAGGGGAGCACCCCCCCAGAGGGUCAGGUCCUAACCAUUUCAAUGUGGGGAGGAGAAAUGGAAAUCAACUUCAGAGAUGGACAGCUUUAGGCCAAG